CCUACGGGUGGCAGCAGUGAGGAAUAUUGGUCAAUGGACGGAAGCCUGAACCAGCCACGCCGCGUGCAGGAAGACGGCUCUAUGAGUUGUAAACUGCUUUUGUACAAGGGUAAACCUGAAUACGUGUAUUCAGCUGAAAGUACUUUACGAAUAAGGAUCGGCCAACUCCGUGCGAGCAGCCGCGGGAAUACGGAGGUGCCAAGCGUUAUCCGGAUUUAUUGGGUUGAAAGGGUGCGUAGGCGGAUUGAUAAGUUAGAGGUGAAAUGUCCGGGCUCAACCCGGGAACUGCCUCUAAUACUGGUGAUCUAGAGAGUAGGUGCGGUAGGCGGAAUGUAUGGUGUAGCGGUGAAAUGCUUAGAGAUCAGACGGAACACCAGUUGCGAAGGCGGCUUGC
Molecule: ribosomal RNA, 394 nt
Filed under: uncultured bacterium
Lineage: Bacteria
Description: partial 16S ribosomal RNA
Rfam family: Bacterial small subunit ribosomal RNA
Source: RNAcentral